RNAcentral lists this transfer RNA (71 nucleotides) under Loxodonta africana (African savanna elephant). It matches the Rfam family "tRNA". From Rfam's summary of the family: Transfer RNA (tRNA) molecules are approximately 80 nucleotides in length. Their secondary structure includes four short double-helical elements and three loops (D, anti-codon, and T loops). The record is from Rfam by way of RNAcentral. Lineage: Eukaryota; Metazoa; Chordata; Mammalia; Proboscidea; Elephantidae.
GCAUUGGCCGUUUAGUGGUAAAAUUCUCGCCUUCCAUGCGGGAGAUCUGGGUUCAAUUCCUGGCCGAUGCA